Molecule: long non-coding RNA, 11128 nt
Organism: Equus quagga
Lineage: Eukaryota; Metazoa; Chordata; Mammalia; Perissodactyla; Equidae
Exons: 3
Source: RefSeq, a predicted model, not a curated record
CACGCACAUGGAGAAUCAGGUCAUCCGUCGUCACCAUCAUCCGUGUAGCUGUGAUCUUCCAAAACAGUCCUAAUUUCGGGCAUCUUGUCCUGUUCUUCCACAAACACAUUCACGCUCAUGGUGGUCUAUGUCCUAAAUUGCAGUUUGGAAAAAUCUAGCCACUGAUUCAGCGGAGAGGCCAGGCAUCAGAACUGAGGCGUCUGAAGGAGCCGGGCAGGUGAAUAAAGGAGUGAAGAGGGCCAGGAGCAGCGAAGGGAUGAAUGUGGAUUUCAUAGGAAAUAGAUAAUUUCUUACGUUGAAAACUAAUAUUAAAAAAGGGAAAAUGACAAAAAAUAUUGUGCUGGGCAGAAACCAUGCCUGUCAUGGACUGAAUGGUGCCCCCCCUGCCCCCAAAUUCGUGCAUUGAAGCCCCAGCUCCUAACAUGACUGUAAUUGGAGAUGGCCACUUUAGACGGAACUAAGGUUAGAUGAGGUCACAAGGGCGCCCUGAUCUAACAGGACUGGCGGCCUGAUAAGCGGAGGAACAGAGAUUUCCCUGCAUCUCUGAGGAGAGGCCGUGUGAGGCACCGAGAGAAGAGGAGAAGGCGGCCGUGUGCGAGCCGGGAGGGAGCCCUCACCAGGAACCGUGCCGGCUGGCUCCCUGACCGUGGACGUGCAGCCUGCAGGACUGUGACAUGAACUUCUGUUGUUUAAGCUGCCCAGUCUGGGGAGUUUGGGUACAGUGGCCAGAGCGUUCUGAUAUGAGGCCCAAGGCCUGCACGUGCCCAUGCUCCCCACGGACACAAGCUCCACCCCAGUUACGCUCUGGGCUGAAUGAAGCGUGACCUGCUCAGGGGUGAGGGCCCCAGUCGGUUCAAGCAUCAGCCUCACAUGGCUUUGAAGUCACAGCACAACGGCAACAGGAUAUUUACUCACUGAACAUGAUUAAAACCAGUGCGUAAAGCAGGAGAAGGAAAGCAUCUUGAGAUCACAGAAAGAAAAGGUGACCACGUCCUGAAGAGGCGGCCGCCCUGGCCUCGGAACGAGCCUCCUGGUCACUCGCAGCCCCUCGGGCCUGGACGGGUUGGCCCCCGCAAGACACAGGCUGCAGGACACUUAGCUUUUACUUUCUUCUUCCUUUCCUGUUCCAGGUCAUUGUCCUCCUGGUGCAGUUCCAACAUUGUUUAAUUUAAUCUGCAUGGUUCAGAAUUUCAUUCAUUUGUCAAUAAUUAUUUUUUCAGCAUUUGCUUUGUGCCAAACACACGUCUAGAUGCUGAGAUGCAUCAGUGAAGAAAAUUCAUGCGUUCGCGGCACUUCUGUUCUACGUGGGCGGUACAGACAAUGGACAAAGUCAAGAACGGGUGACGUGCUAGAAGGCUGCAACGUGAUCUGCACGGUUUCUUGAGACUCAUUUCUGCUCUAGAAGAAAACAGUUGGGAUGGGUGACACUCACAUGGAAGCACAGGUGUGCAUCAUUACAUUUUGAUUUCCAUGUGGACUAUAUCAUGUUCACCACCAAAGACUGAUCACUGCCUGUCACAGUACCUCUGAUGGGGAGCAUUUUAAUCAGAGUGGCCAGGGAGGGUCUGGUUGAAAGGCGAAUGCUGGCGCAAAGACUCGAAGGAGCUGAGGGAGCAGGACACACAGGUAUGUUGAGGAGAUCACGCGGUGCAUGGGGAGCCCCACGUGCCAAGAGCCCAGCGUGAGCUUCUCCGAUAAGCUCCAGGAACAGCAGGGAGGCCAGGGCGGCCAGAGAGGGGUGAGCAGAGCCGUGGGCUGCAAAACGGGAGGUGGCUCCGGGCCCCGUGGUCCUUGUGAGACCUUCGGCUUCACUCCGAAACGGUUUCCACUGGAGGGUUUGCACGGGAGAGCGGUGGAUUUACACUCUAACGUGAUCGGUCUGGCUGCUGCUCUGAGAGGUUAGAGGGCAGAGGUGGAGGCCAGUUGGGGAAACCGCAGGGAUCCAAGCAGAGGUGACGGUGGCUCAGCGGAGUGGAGCAGCACAGCUGGUGAGAGGGGGUGAGAUUCUGGAUCUAGUUUGAAGUAGAGCCGACAGGAUGCCAGCCCUGGCGGUCUAGUGGUUAGAUCCACUGCUCUCGCCACAGCCAGGUUCGUGUCCCAGUCAGGGAACCACGCCAUCCAUCUGUCGGUUGUCACACUGUGGCAGCUGCAUGUUGCUGUGACCGAAAGUGAUGCCACUGGGAUUUCAAAUCCCAUCAGGGUCACCCACAGUGGACAGGUUUCAGCGGAGCUUCCAGACCAAGACGGACUAAGAAGAUGGACCUGGCCACCCUCCUAAACCCUAGGAACAGCGGCAGAGCCGUAUGUACAUACCGGCUGCAGAACCGGAAGGUGAGGGCAUGGAGCAGAAAGACAGGGCAGGUUCCGCUCCGCUGUGCACAGGGCUGCUAGGAGUCAGAACCCACCGGACGUCAGGGGCAAAGAGGAUUUUCUAUGAAAUUGGAUGUGGGGAGUGAGGAGAGGAAGAGUCGAUGAUGAACCCAAGAAUCUAAGCCUCGGGGAAAGGACGGAGGAAUACAGAGAGGGGACGAGAAUCGUAAAGUCAGCACAGAGAAGGCUGGGUGACAGCCUUUCGACAAUUUUACUUUAACUCAAAAUGUAGCGUGAAAGUCUUUUGGCAAAUAUUUCUCUCUCAUGUGGACCCACAGCUCGAUGCAGCAUCACGAAGCGCAAGCUUUGUUAUUUUUCAGGUGAGAGAGAGUCUUUCAAACAGACUUUUCCUACUGUGUCUGCUGUCAACGCUUGUGUCACAGGACACCAGAGCAGUUAGCGACCAGCUCGCUUUCCUCCUUCCCAGGGCUGUGGACUGCACACCCCACUCAGAAGUCGGGGAAAAAGCACGAUAUCCUCCCACCCAAACCAGCGACCUUGCAAGCUCGUGUGAAGUCCUUCUCUAUCGUUAUACACACUCACCCAAGACAAAACAAAAAAACCUGGCAAAGACUCGGAAAAAAAUUCUUUUUCAUGAAGUUGACAAACUCUUGCCUUUUUCAAAAACCAGCUUUAGGGCUGUGUCUUAAGGAAAAGUUGAGAUAUUCCUUUUCCUCCUAAUUCUCUUUUACUCUGCAAGAGAAAUGAAGGGGGAAAGAAAGCUUGUGAUAAAGGAUGAAGAAACCAAACUUAUCAAGAAAGUCGAUAGAAAAUACAAAUAAGUCAGGAAGAUGGAGGAGCAUGUGUGGUUUUUCUCAAGGAGGGGUUUUGCUGUCUACUCGGGGUGGUCUAGGCUAGCUGGGAAAGUGUAUAAAUUGAUUCAGUUUUCCUCUGGGCACUCAUCCAACUGUCUCAAGUCAACGCUGGUGGUGCUGUAAAGUUUUUAUUAUUCAGGGAGAACUCUGCCCAGCCUCGGUGCUUCGGAAGUUAGCAGUUCAUUUCCUUGAGCCUGUAGCUACCAGCAUGGAGCCCCUCGCACGGCAGACGCAGAGUCGGUUGAACCACGGGUUCAGGGCUGUUCCUGCCUUGUUUUGUGAACUGUCAUCCAUCAAAUUCCCUUCUUCCCACAUCUGCCACCUCCUACCCACCCUCAUGUGCACUCUGAUCAACACACCAGAUAACACCAGAUUGACCACAGAUUCAUGUGGCACGGCAGCCAUAUACCAGAUGACUCAUCUUUGGACUUUCUGGGAUUUCAGGGCAAAUUUUCCCACAGAGUGUAUGCGCAGCCCAGGCUCCCUCUGAUUACGGUCAAGCAGAGAUAGACAAGAACAGAUGAUUGUGGUUCCAAUAAGGAGACCUCACUCCACGUAAAGAUCUUUGCUUGGUGAUUGUGAACACAAAGCCCUCAGCGCUCCCCUGAUACGUCAAACCAUCAGAGGUUCGUUUCGCCUGCACGGGGCAACCUCAAACGCAGCCCUCCCUAAUCUGAGAGGAUAGGUAUUCUGGGAGGAUCCAAAGCUAUGAAAGAGGAAAAGGGAAGUUUGGUUUGUUUUUAUCAGAAACUGUGUUAGCUUAAAACAGAGAAAAGCCAAGCCUGACCGUCUUCCUCAUUAUUAAACCAGCUCAGAGAGGCGCAAAAUCUCAUUUUUAACACACUUCUGUGAACCAAAGAAAGUAGCGUGCUGUGUAUCAUUGGAACUUAAUGCUCAGGAGACCACGAAGAAUUUUUCACAUACACAAUUUUUAUAUAUUUGCAAAGCAAAAGGAAUUACAUUUUCAUCAGGUGCUUUUCUGUAAGUCAGUGCCAAACUCUCUUUCCUCCUUCUGCAUCUGAGGUGAGCUCAGCCUGUUUCAAGCUGGGAGUGCUGGGAAAUACGGAUGGCAGAGGGCCAGGGGAACUGGUGGGUUUCAACGUGUGUGUGAUGCAUAGGUAAGUCAGCGUCUUCCCCGCACCUCCUCCUGGCCCCACGGAUGAGCUGGUGGUGGAAGGACGAUUACAGUGGAAGAACCAGGCACCUUCCCUCGCUUCUGUACCUGCGCCGGUGGGCCACCGGCUCCCCACUUUUCCCAGCAGGGUUUUCAGCAGAGGCGUCUGUGGCUCUCAGGGCUGUAGGAUCAACCCCUCUCACCAGACCCGACAAAACGCUGUUGCGCAAACUGUGACGAGAACAUCAUCGUGCUGUGGAGUUUCUAGCAAAACAUUUUUCUGUUUUGCUUUUGAGAAAAAUGUAGGUAUUGUGUUAAAUCAAAUAGCUCAUACAUUUUGAGCUCUUGGUGACAGAUAUUAAUUAAAAUUAAUGUUUUCAAAUGAAUCAUUGAACAUAUAGCCAGUUACAUUUAAGUGUUUAAAUUAUGUUCACGGGGAGAUGUACGUUUGGAUCUUUCUUUUUUCCUCAAGAAAAGAGCACUGAACAAUUGUGUGUUUUGUAAAACCAUUUGAAAGUAUAAAAUCAUAACAUUUUAGAGAUUGGAGAAUCUUAGGCAUUGCUUAGCUUGCUCUGUUUGUUUUCUGCAACAAAACUUGAUCUAUAACCUAAAUGCCUCAUUGGAAACAACCAAGCAGACAGUGGCUGGGGGGCACGCUGAGGGGUCUCCCCACCACAUCGUGAUACUCCUGACUCGACACCAUGAUUGCACUGUUCCAAAUCAUAGAAACUCUGCAAUGUAUUUGCAAUGGUAGAGUCUAAGGAUCUUAGCCAAUACAAAUACAAUUUGCCAACUGACAUUGUAAAGCAACAAGAUCCCAACUAUCAAUUAUUUCUUCACACUGUGCUUUUGUAACUGUCUGGUCCACCUCAUUACUAACUCUGGCAUUACCCUGGAUCCUCUAAAUAAGCGCCUAAGUUUGACUCAUGAUGAUGUCUCGUUUCUGGAUCCGUCUUCGUGCUCCCUCUGGCCAUCCCUCAGUUACCACAACGUCUGCCCAGUGUAGCACUUUGGCCAGAAAAGAGAAGCUUGAGCACCCAGAAAAGUACCUUUCUGUCCAAUUAGAAGCUAAAAUUUCUUUGACUUCCUUUUGAAAGUUAUAAAUUCAAUUACCCACUCAUUCAUUCAUUUAGGAAUUCUUGUGGGGACACAUUCCAAGUCCCAGGUGCUGAAUUAGUUGCUCUGGAGAGUUGGAGCUGGAGGGGGCACUGUCUGUGGAUGCACAGGGCCUGUUGCCUGGGGAGGGCAGGGCAGAGGCAGCAAUAAACAGAGGUGCAAGGCAGGUGGGUCGGGAGCAGAUAGGAAGGAGCUGUAUCUGGGAGUCAUAAGGAAAAGCUUUGUCUACAUAUGCAAAAUCCAAGAAGUCGAGACGCCUGGUGCCAGAACUCUUCCAGGAACAGCCUCGUGCCGCUGCACUGAGGAAGGCACAGCCCGCUGGGAACCUGCGUUUGGCACUGUGAUCACAGGAAUGUCAACGGUCACGGCCAGAUCACCUAAAAGGACAGGUGGAAGGUCUUGGGACCCCUAGAGUGCAGGUAGAAGGUCAGAAUUGGAGAGGACAGGCCAGAGAGAAUCUACUAGAAGACCACCUGGCCAUCUGUAAGCCACCCGAGAAACGGUCAAAUGAGACAGCUCUGGGAACCCACAUUCUCAGCUGCUUGGCAGCCCAGCCUGGGCUGCCUCUGGGAUCUGACCAGUCACAGGCACAUUUUGGCAUUUUAGGUGCAUUUCAGUCAGAGGAGUAAAUUGUCUCUUUGCACAGUUGAGGUUGAGGCAUAGCAAGUAGCACUUUCUCUGCUAGAGCCCAUGCAGCCCCAAGUGCUCUCACAUCUCUGCACGUGCCUGGGGGACACCCCAACCACUGCGUUGCCUAAAGCUCAGACCUCUCCCACACACUGGGUACCUCUCAGGGUCAAGGCUAGGAAGAGGCCAGCGAGGCGCCUAGGAUGCAAAUGCAAGUAGAAGCUCGCUGUCAGGUGCCCGGCCUGCACUUGCACCCUAAGGGUGAGCGAGCACUUCCCUAAACCCAGCCUCCUCCCGGAGGGGCUUCACGUUCCAGGAGCAGGAGGAUGGGCCUCAAUGAUUCCACGGCGGGCAGACACUUGCCUAGCAACAAGGAGAAGUGUGGGGCAAGGAGUAGACUGGUCAUUUUCCCAAGGACCUAUGACUAAAAAUCCCCCUUGACGGAGUCCUAAAGGCAAGGAUAUCCCCAAAGCCCAGCCCGGGCACGGCUUUCCUGGCUUCUUUUUUCAAAGGAAAGACUUGAUUCAUCUGUUAACUUGCUUCCUUCCAUGAACCCCUUCACGUCUCCUCAACUGAAAUUCCCCAGGUGCAUUUCAUAGCUCCUUCUUGCUCUGUUCACUGAAAACAGGUUCAAAAUGUAUGCCCCUGAGAAAAAAGUUUCCAUGUAGGAUAUGUUUCUAAUUCUGUUGUGGCUUCAGCCUGGGUUGUAACACCUGAGUCCCUCUAAGGAGCCUGGCUCUCAUGUUCAAACACAGCCUUAGGAUUAGUGCCUGGCUGCUCAGUGCCCUCGGGCUCGCUCCCCUGAGUGAGAGCUGGAACUGGCAAUCAUUUUUAUAAACAGAGCAAUAACCACAAAAUAGUCAACAAAUUAAAUAUAGGGCUUAACAACUACAUGAUCCAGAGAGAAAGCAUAGACAUUAUUAUUUUCACAAUACAUCUGAUUUUUUCUCAUUAUCCAAUUUCUUCAACUUCAUUAUUUACCUUUUUUUUUAAAAAAAAAAAUAAGGCUAGUAUUAUCAUAAAUUUGUAACCAUGUUUUUCUUUUCGUUAAAUUCUCUUUUUCUUGUAUCUUCAUUCACACUCAACAAAGAAAUCCUAUUUGGGAAAGAGAGAAAAAUAAGAGGAAACAAUAGUUUAUAAGGCAGGAGAGGGACAUUUCAUUGCAUAGCACCAUGACUCCAGAAGAAAUCAGUAGAUUUUCCUCAAAGGACAAGAAAGAACUACAUGUUAGGUUUCACAGCCACAAAUUCUUGGAUACCAGAAUAUGAGUUACACCUCAGAGAAAGCAUGCGCUUCCAUCGACGCAGAGCUCAGGGAUUCACAGAGAACCGUUGCCUCUCGGCCGAGGAGCCCGGCUUCCAGGCAGGGGUCGUUUUCCAGGGAACCUGAAUGCAGCCCAGCCGACUCAGAGAUUAAGUAAAAGCCGCCAGCAGCCCAGAAAUGUGGGCCUUUCCCUCGGUGAUUCAUUGCUGUCAGCAGCCGGAUAAACUGUCGCCCAGAGUUGGAGCAUAAAUUACCUCAUCACUGUUGGUUUUAAUUUAAGGCCAAUUUAAAGACCAUUGAAGUCUGAAUGCGGUUGAGAAACAGCUAGCUCGUUUGUCACUUACAAUUAACUCUAGGAUAUUUUAUACAGUUAAGAGCAAGAAGACGGAAGAAUGACAAAAUAUUACAGUUCAUCCAACUAUCACUUUAAGAAAAAUCCUCAGAUAUUUAGAAAAAUGUUUAGAUUUCUGAGACUAUUACACCAAUUCUGUAUAAAUUGUUAAUAACAUUGGUCAACAUCUAUGGAUGUAAGAAGAAAAUUGAAGUGGUAAUUAGGAAAUACAGCCACCGUUUACAUUUUAUUCUAUUAAAUUCUCACAAAACUCUGUGAUAUGGGGCUGCUAUUUUAACCCCAUUUUGCAGAUGAGCAAGCUGAGACUCAGAGAGAUUAGGAAGUUCACUGAGGGGCCCAAUCCCUGUCAGUAGCAGAGCUGGGAUUUGAACCAGGGGAGGAACCCAGCUCACAGGUUUCCUGCCGCACCAGGCUGCUUAAUCCAGACGAUGACCGAGUAUGUGCGACCUGCGUGCUUAGCCGUGAGAAAUGAAAAUAAUCGGUGCAGCAGACGAGUUAGUCCUGUGUGGUCGGAAGAGCCACCGCAUCUUGGAAGCAUCCACUUCUUUGAGAAGGCGGCCGUGUGAAGCGCGGCGAUGCUGCAGCCAGUUGUGUAAGACCCACGGUCAGCCGGAGAGAAACUGAUCCGUGAAUGGGCCUCUCUGUGCUGGAAAUUCUGUUGCUUCCAGGUGCACUGUCCACCUUCCCACCUGUUCUGCACCCUGGGAGGCUGACGUCCAAGACCACUCCCCCAAGGGGACCCUCCUCUCCCUCUGGGAAGUGGUUCAGCCCUACACGGCUCUGACAGGGGACACGGGUGCCGGAGGACGUCUGUGUGGCUGUGGAUCUCGCCUCCCCGGUGCCUGCUGGCCUGAGGGUCGGCAGGACUGCAUUCUUCCUCAGAAGAAACAGCUUGUUUUCCUCAGCUUCAGCUCUCUGUCUGUCUGUCUGUCUGUCUGUCUCUCUUCCCAGUGACCCUCAGUCACCUGUACCUGCUGACUUCGGAGUGGUCGCUUAGCCUCGACUUCGAGUGGUCGCUUUCCCUUAAAGAAGAGUCUGAAGGGAAUCUCGUGUGCACGUGGUUUAUCUGGGAACGUAUCUCAGAGAGCAGGAAGGAGAGGCGGGGAGAGCGAAGGAGAAGGAAGUGAAAAGCCAAAACAAGGACGAGGUGUUGAAGAGGCCGCUGCCAUCGUCGGCUGGUGCUCAGUCCUCAGCAUCUUCUGAAAUACCCGGCAGAGCAGUCUGCUUGGAAGAAGCAUGAAGCGGGCGUCCUGGCUUCCACCAUCUUCUUCCGGGUGGCACUGGCAGGAGCUCGCCCAUGUCCAGGUUGUGCCCGCCUGAAUGCCAGGCAGAGUCCCUAGGCAGCCACAUCACCAAGCCAGAGGGUUCCCGGGGCAGGAUCAGAGAGGCGUCAGGAGCAGGUCGCCCGCAGAGAAGCCGGCGGAGGCCAGAGUCCACGGAGCGCCUUUGUGAAGACGGCGCCCUGCUCUCGCUGCCUCUGGGGUUCCUCACCAGCCUCUCGGUGUUCGGUUUGUUUGUUUCUACUUAACCCUGCCACUCCUUCUAAACAGUCCUUCUUUAAAAUCUCCUCAGUGUCCCGACUCAGACGUCUGCUUCCUGUUACAAGGCCGCCUGCGUCACUGGUAUCCUGAGUCCUCCAAGCCUUCAGCCCCCUCUCCCGUCCCGCCAUCCUCUCCCCAGACAGUGACACCUGAUGGUUUCAUGCUCCUCUCUGCGCUGGGUUGGCUAGUGUACCCCCCAAAUUCAUGUCCUUUCUGGAACCUCAGGGUGUGACCUUAUUUGGAAGUGGGGUUAUUGCAGAUGUGAUUAAGUUUCCCUGCGGUCAUCCUGGAGUGGGGUGAGCCUUUAGUCCAGUAUGACUGGUGUCCUCAUAAGAAGAGGGGAGGGACACAGAGACAGAGACACAGGGAAGAGAGCCUGUGAAGACGGAGGCAGAGAUUGAAGGGCGCAUCUACAAGCCAAGGAACACUAAGGACUGCCAGCAAGCACCGGAGGCUGGGAGAACGGCGUGGAACACGUCUCUCUCAGGACGCCCAGAGGGAACCAACGCUGCUAACAUCUUGGUCUCAGACUUCCAGCCCCCAGUACUGUGGGAGAAUAAAUUUCUGCUGUUUUGGGGCCCCCUGUUUGUGGUAACUUGUUACGACAGCCCUAGGAAUAUAAUACAUCUCUCCAACAAGACUCUCCUUCAAAGUCCCACAGAGGUCUACAAAGACUCAGGUCUCAUUUUCUCUCCACCCGUCAAAGCUUAUCUGUCUUGCGUUUGCCCUUCAAGGUCACAGCCUUUCCCAACCGAGAGGAGGCAAGGAGGCUGAGUGACUCUGCCGACGCUUUACCAUCAGCUCGCGUGAUGCCCAGAACACAGCACGUCUCUUCCAGCUAAGCUCUCCUGUCCUCUUAAGGAAGCACUUUAAGGACCCAUAUUGGCCAAUUAGUGGACCGCGAUUUGGGCCACUGCUCAGACCGUACCCCACAGGAUGCCAGCUGCCGGUGCCCUACCAGCUUGAGUAAGAGGCUCUGCCAGCUUGGAGACCUAAAAUCCAAUGUCCGCCCGCCUGUUGGUUAUCCCAGCAGGGACCACACAGGAGGCAGGGCUGCGCAUCACAGCCCCCGAGGAAUAAACCCUGGGCCCACGGGUCAGGAAGCAGACACCUUAGUGGGUGUAACCACCCUCCCGUGAGCACAAUCACUGCUUGAUAUGCACUUGCUGACCAUUCCCUUCCUGUCUGUCCUCUCUCUCACCUUUCCUUGAACCCAUUUUGGCACACAAUUAACUCUACCAGAAGAAAAGGUCAAAGGGAAGAAUGUGCAACCAGUGUCUCUUGGGUUUGUUGCUCAGAUGUAGUUCUUUAGAUGAAGUCUCAGGCUAAAAUGAGGCUUUGCCUGCCAUGGGUUUGGUUUUGUCUUCCUGGCUGGCAUUUGCAUAUGGCGGAGAGCAGAGAGGCCAGCCACCACGCCUCUCUGCUGCUCUGUCACCACUGCGUAAGGACUGGACACGAGCACUGCCAGCCUGUCUCCAGCUCCCCCAGGAGAAACGCCCGGUCACGGCACGGUUGUGAGGAUGAAACAAGAGACUGUGCGUACGGCAUCAGCACCAGGCAGAGAGGCGGGUGUUAGUGAGUCCUUCUCAGAGCUCUUCCUCUCAUGUUCCACUUUAAGUCUCACUUUCCAUGGUCACUUUGACUAUACUUGUCGAUACAUACUUAAUUUUUUUGCAUCUGCCUUUUCUCCCUAACUUCAUUGUAAACUUGAGGCCAAAUUUUACUAUACAUCACUGUAAAAAAAAUAUUGAUAAUAACAUUUAUGAGCCAACCUGUGUGUCAACGAGAUGCUAAACAUUUCUUACCUAAUCCUGACACUGACCACUGAUAGAGGAUCUUUUUUUUUAAAAGAUUGGCCCUGAACUAACAUCUGUUGCCAAUCUUCUUCUUCUUUUCUUCUUCUUCUUCUUCUCCCCAAAGCCUCAGUACA